This 253-nucleotide ribosomal RNA is filed under the name uncultured bacterium. RNAcentral describes it as "partial 16S ribosomal RNA". It matches the Rfam family "Bacterial small subunit ribosomal RNA", at positions 524 to 776 of the family's 1533-position model. The record is from RNAcentral.
UACGAAGGGGGCUAGCGUUGUUCGGAAUUACUGGGCGUAAAGCGCGCGCAGGCGGUCCUACAAGUCAGAGGUGAAAGCCCAGGGCUCAACCCUGGAACUGCCUUUGAAACUGUGGGACUUGGGUAUGGGAGAGGUGAGCGGAAUUCCGAGUGUAGAGGUGAAAUUCGUAGAUAUUCGGAAGAACACCAGUGGCGAAGGCGGCUCACUGGCCCAUUACCGACGCUCAGGCGCGACAGCGUGGGGAGCAAACAGG